AAUUUUUCAACCCCUUGUCCCUGCACACCAAGGCCCUGAUUCAACAAAAACUUCUGGAGUCACUCAGGGCAAUAUGUUCUCAAUGACUGAAAGGCCAGGUCCUCACAAGAGGAGGAACAGCUCCCGUUGAGGCCAGUGCUGCCACCAUAUGCAGUUGGUGUAUGGGGCCGGCUCCGCUCUGAAAAGCAGCUAAACCUUGGAAGCAGAUUGCGAAUUACAGACAACAUUUGAGAGGAAGUCAGUAAUUCCCCUCUUCACUCUCAGGCCCCGGGCUACCUCUGCAGGCUUGUAAGA
Molecule: long non-coding RNA, 294 nt
Organism: Corvus hawaiiensis (hawaiian crow)
Lineage: Eukaryota; Metazoa; Chordata; Aves; Passeriformes; Corvidae
Exons: 3
Source: RefSeq, a predicted model, not a curated record